Oncorhynchus tshawytscha (Chinook salmon) is the source of this 1171-nucleotide long non-coding RNA. NCBI's taxonomy places the organism in Eukaryota, Metazoa, Chordata, Actinopteri, Salmoniformes, Salmonidae. The record is from Ensembl.
GGAUUGUGUGGCCCCUCAGUGGACAAUUCUGUUAGAAUAGGGAUGGAAUGAGAACAUUAUUUUGUAGGAUUAUGCGUCUAUGGUGGUAACACUAUUCUUUGUUCUAGAAUCAACGAUUGAGAGAGGUCUUGACUCACUUGAUGGGGUUCAUCUUGGCGUCUCGGCUUGGUCUUCAAGUUCUGUUCUCGCUCCGGUGAAGUGCUUCACUGUAAAGGGAACAGGAUGCUAUCUCGGGGCGCAGACUGGGAUUUGAGCGUUGUACAGACUUAUUAAAGAAGUGCCUAAACUUGAAAAAGUUAAUGCUAUAGAAUUCUAUAGAGUAGGAUGCCCUUUAGGAUGUCCCCACAGUGUCUGUGUACUAAACUAAAGGAUGUUACUCAGUACCUUCUGCCUCAAUCAUGCUCAGUAACCCCGAAGGCCAUUGCAGUAUUUUAUUUGCACGUCAAUCCAAGAUGUUACAGUAUACAAUGUAGCCUUUACUGAAGAGAAGGGUGAUGCUAUGUUUUACAUAAUGGCCUUAUUGUGUUUUCUUGUUUAACCAAGAAUGUGUCAUCAUUGGGAACCUAUAGCGGGACUGGAUAAAUGAAUAAUCCGUUUGAAGACAUUUUCACCUUUACCAAUUCCGAUUCCAGGCUGUAUCACAACCGGCCAUGAUUGGCCCAGCGUCGUCCGGGCAUUAGUGUUAGGAAUUUUAUGAAUAAUGACUAAACAAUAUCUACAUUUAAAUAGAACUAUAACUAAUUCAACUCUACCCUGUUUUACAAUAUCUGAUGAAUAAUGUUAGUUCCUAAGAAAGAGGUUAUGUAGCAUGGAUAAGAGGUAAUUGGAAAUGAUACACACACAUUCCUUCCUACACAAUGGUUGUCUUAAGUAAGCAAAGAGGGUCAUUAACCUAUGUUUGAACCGACUCAACUAUAACUCUGGCGAUCAAAUAAGACAGCGAGAGCCCCUCCAGGUUUUGUGUAUCUGGAACUGUCUGCUAAAGUGGUAAUAAAUGAUGGUGAGACUUCAGGAGUUAAUCCAGUUAUAUUGUGUGUCAUGUAUGUGAAUUGGAAUUAUCUUUUGAACCUGCUUUGUCCUGAUCGAGAGGAGGAAGGACAUUUUAAAACCUAUGAUGUCAUAUUUGAUAUAUAAACUGUUGUACAGGGUUCUAUGAGCAGCGUGCUCCGAG